Molecule: small RNA, 122 nt
Filed under: Klebsiella aerogenes
Lineage: Bacteria; Pseudomonadati; Pseudomonadota; Gammaproteobacteria; Enterobacterales; Enterobacteriaceae
Description: RtT RNA
Source: RNAcentral
AGUAACAGCAAUAUCGUUAUUACAUGGUCUGCGAAAUUUUCGUCAGCACCAGGGAGGAUAACGUUGCGUAAGCAACGGCCCGAAGGGCGAGGCGCAGCCGAGUAAUCCUCCCGGAUGCACCA